RNAcentral lists this long non-coding RNA (203 nucleotides) under Salvia miltiorrhiza (redroot sage). Its description in RNAcentral is "long non-coding RNA (SMIL_LNC004485)". The record is from RNAcentral. Lineage: Eukaryota; Viridiplantae; Streptophyta; Magnoliopsida; Lamiales; Lamiaceae.
GAGUUUUAGUCGUAUAGACUCAAAUAACUAGUAAGUUCGGAUAACUCCGACUUAUCCAAAAUAACAUAAAACUUCUGAGUACGCAGCGGAAUAAGGUUCUGAUUACAUGUAUGAAGACAUGUAACCCUAGAGUUCAUUAAUACAUAAUAAAACAAAAGAGUCCCGCUCGUCACUUCAUCACCAUCGGCAGCUGCUCAACCUGC